RNAcentral lists this ribosomal RNA (270 nucleotides) under uncultured archaeon. RNAcentral describes it as "partial 16S ribosomal RNA". It matches the Rfam family "Archaeal small subunit ribosomal RNA", at positions 477 to 747 of the family's 1478-position model. The record is from RNAcentral.
CAGCACCUCAAGUGGUCAGGAUGAUUAUUGGGCCUAAAGCAUCCGUAGCCGGCGCUGUAAGUUUUCGGUUAAAUCUGUACGCUCAACGUACAGGCUGCCGGGAAUACUGCAGCGCUAGGGAGUGGGAGAGGUAGACGGUACUCGGUAGGAAGGGGUAAAAUCCUUUGAUCUAUGGAUGACCACCUGUGGCGAAGGCGGUCUACCAGAACACGUCCGACGGUGAGGGAUGAAAGCUGGGGGAGCAAACCGGAUUAGAUACCCGAGUAGUCC